GACCAUGUGGCUCAGUUGGUAGAGCAUAAGACUCUGAGCAUUGAGAUUGUGGGUUCAAGCCCGCAGUGGGCA
Molecule: transfer RNA, 72 nt
Filed under: Dryobates pubescens (Downy woodpecker)
Lineage: Eukaryota; Metazoa; Chordata; Aves; Piciformes; Picidae
Description: Picoides pubescens (downy woodpecker) tRNA
Rfam family: tRNA
About the family: Transfer RNA (tRNA) molecules are approximately 80 nucleotides in length. Their secondary structure includes four short double-helical elements and three loops (D, anti-codon, and T loops).
Source: Rfam by way of RNAcentral